CCUACGGGGGGCAGCAGUGAGGAAUAUUGGUCAAUGGGCGAGAGCCUGAACCAGCCAAGUCGCGUGAAGGAUGACGGCCCUAUGGGUUGUAAACCUCUUUUGUCGGGGGGCAAAAGACGCCACGCGUGGCGUUCCGAGAGUACCCGAAGAAAAAGCAUCGGCAAACUCCGUGCCAGCAGCCGCGGUAAUACGGAGGAGGCGAGCGUUAUCCGGAUUUAUUGGGUUUAAGGGGUGCGAAGGCGGAAGAUCAAUUCCGCGGUAAAAUUGAGGGGCUCAACCUCUUCGAGCCGUUGAAACUGGUUUUCUUGAGUGAGUGAGAAGUAUGCGGAAUGCGUGGUGUAGCGGUGAAAUGCAUAGAUAUCACGCAGAACUCCGAUUGCGAAGGCAGCAUACCGGCGCUCAACUGACGCUCAUGCACGAAAGUGUGGGUAUCGAACAGGAUUAGAUACCCGAGUAGUC
RNAcentral lists this ribosomal RNA (459 nucleotides) under uncultured bacterium. Its description in RNAcentral is "partial 16S ribosomal RNA". It matches the Rfam family "Bacterial small subunit ribosomal RNA", at positions 338 to 795 of the family's 1533-position model. The record is from RNAcentral.